AGUCCAUGAGCUGGACUAUACGAUAUAUUAUCAUGUGUCACCUUUUGGUGCGUCUCUCUCUCCCCUCCAAAUUCCUUUUUCCGUUUUUCCCCUUAUUAAAAAAAAACCAAAAUAUGGAGGUGAAGAAAGCCACACCACAUCCAAUCUGUGUUCCUGUCCCUCACAAAAGUGUAUAUUAUAGAUAUAGAAUAAUGACACUAAAUAAGAGUGGACUGGACAUCUAGAAAAAAAUGAAAAUUGUUGUAAUAUAUGAAACUGGCCUUUCCUAUGCUGAAAUUGCAAAACAAGUAAGUGGAGCAGGGAUUAAAUCUGG
RNAcentral lists this long non-coding RNA (313 nucleotides) under Androctonus crassicauda. The record is from RNAcentral. Lineage: Eukaryota; Metazoa; Arthropoda; Arachnida; Scorpiones; Buthidae.